This 68-nucleotide transfer RNA is filed under the name Trichonephila inaurata madagascariensis. RNAcentral's name for it is "tRNA-Cys". It matches the Rfam family "tRNA". Rfam says of the family: Transfer RNA (tRNA) molecules are approximately 80 nucleotides in length. Their secondary structure includes four short double-helical elements and three loops (D, anti-codon, and T loops). Further hydrogen bonds mediate the characteristic L-shaped molecular structure. tRNAs have two regions of fundamental functional importance: the anti-codon, which is responsible for specific mRNA codon recognition, and the 3' end, to which the tRNAs corresponding amino acid is attached (by aminoacyl-tRNA synthetases). tRNAs cope with the degeneracy of the genetic code in two manners: having more than one tRNA (with a specific anti-codon) for a particular amino acid; and 'wobble' base-pairing, i.e. permitting non-standard base-pairing at the 3rd anti-codon position. The record is from RNAcentral. Lineage: Eukaryota; Metazoa; Arthropoda; Arachnida; Araneae; Nephilidae.
GUAUAGCUCAAUGGUACGGCAUUCGACUGCAGAUCGAGAGAUAUCCGGUUAAAACCCGGGUGUCUCCU